GACGAACGCUGGCGGCGUGCUUAACACAUGCAAGUCGAACGGAAAGGCCCUGCUUUUGUGGGGUUCUCGAGUGGCGAACGGGUGAGUAACACGUGAGUAACCUGCCCUUGACUUUGGGAUAACUUCAGGAAACUGGGGCUAAUACCGGAUAUGAGCUCCUGCUGCAUGGUGGUGGUUGGAAAGUUUCGGCGGUUGGGGAUGGACUCGCGGCUUAUCAUCUUGUUGGUGGGGUAGUUGCUUACCAAGGCUUUGACGGGUAGCCGGCAUGAGAGGGUGACCGGCGAGAAUGGGAGUGAGAUACGGACCAGAGGCCAACGGGAGGCAGGAGUGGGGAAUAUUGCACAAUGGGAGGAAGCCUGAUGCAGCAACGCCGCGUGCGGGAUGACGGCCUUCGGGUUGUAAACCGCUUUCGCCUGUGACGAAGCGUGAGUGACGGUAAUGGGUAAAGAAGCACCGGCUAACUACGUG
RNAcentral lists this ribosomal RNA (468 nucleotides) under uncultured bacterium. Its description in RNAcentral is "partial 16S ribosomal RNA". It matches the Rfam family "Bacterial small subunit ribosomal RNA", at positions 28 to 507 of the family's 1533-position model. The record is from RNAcentral.